This 497-nucleotide ribosomal RNA is filed under the name uncultured eukaryote. Its description in RNAcentral is "SSU rRNA". It matches the Rfam family "Eukaryotic small subunit ribosomal RNA", at positions 27 to 505 of the family's 1831-position model. The record is from RNAcentral.
UAUGCUUGUCUCAAAGAUUAAGCCAUGCAUGUCUAAGUACAGGCUCUUGUGAACGGCGAAACCGCGAAUGGCUCAUUAGAUCAGUUAAUAUUUAUUAGAUCGUACGUCGCUACUUGGAUAACUGUGGUAAUUCUAGAGCUAAUACAUGCAAACAAACUGUCGCCCUAGCGGCGACAGUGCUUUUAUUAGGUCAAAACCAACGCGGCGCUCGGCAACGGGUGCCGCCCAAAGCUGGUGACUCUGGAUAACUUUUCGUCGAUCGCACGGCCUCGCGCCGGCGACGUAUCUUUCAAAUGUCUGCCCUAUCAAGUCUCGAAGGUAGGUGCUAUGCUUACCUUGCUUAUAACGGGUAACGGGGAAUCAGGGUUCGAUUCCGGAGAGGGAGCAUGAGAAACGGCUACCACAUCUAAGGAAGGCAGCAGGCGCGCAAAUUACCCACUCCUGGCNNNNNNNGGUAGUGACAAGAAAUAACAAUACGGGACUCUAUCGAGGCCCCG